Molecule: non-coding RNA, 396 nt
Organism: Pogona vitticeps (central bearded dragon)
Lineage: Eukaryota; Metazoa; Chordata; Lepidosauria; Squamata; Agamidae
Source: RefSeq, a predicted model, not a curated record
CACCCAAAUCUAUCUUCUGAGAUUAUUUUCCUCACAUAUUAGUGGCUUCCUGAUCUACUUCCUCUUUCCUCUGUGUGUGUGUGAGUGGUUUAAGGAAAUAGGCUUCCUUCCUUUCCACUUAUUCUUCUAGCACGUCUGCACAUAGUUUGCUUGAGCACUGCAGGACUCUGCAGGAGCAGCCUGAAUAUCAUCACCACCUCAGCCAUAUCAUCCAACACCACUUCAUAAUCUCUUCAAAGACUUCCACACAUCUCAUCCAGCACAUACUCUCAUGCUAGCUGCUCAGCUGCUUCCACCCAUUCUGCCAGAUUAGUCAUCGCUUCCAGAUGCACUCCCUGGCUGAUUCCCUUCAACAAUUACAGCCUGGUCUCAGUUAAGCCCUCAACUGAACCACCA